UACGGAGGGUGCAAGCGUUAUCCGGAUUCACUGGGCUUAAAGGGUGCGUAGGUGGGCAGUUAAGUCAGCGGUGAAAUCUCUGGGCUUAACCCAGAAACUGCCAUUGAUACUAUCUGUCUUGAAUAUCCUGGAGGUGAGCGGAAUAUGUCAUGUAGCGGUGAAAUGCUUAGAUAUGACAUAGAACACCAAUUGCGAAGGCAGCUCACUACGGGGUUAUUGACACUGAGGCACGAAAGCGUGGGGAUCAAACAGG
RNAcentral lists this ribosomal RNA (253 nucleotides) under uncultured bacterium. Its description in RNAcentral is "partial 16S ribosomal RNA". It matches the Rfam family "Bacterial small subunit ribosomal RNA", at positions 524 to 776 of the family's 1533-position model. The record is from RNAcentral.